ACGGAAGGCAGCAGUGGGGAAUAUUGCACAAUGGGAGAAAUCCUGAUGCAGCGACGCCGCGUGAGUGAAGAAGUAUUUCGGUAUGUAAAGCUCUAUCAGCAGGGAAGAAAAUGACGGUACCUGACUAAGAAGCCCCGGCUAACUACGUGCCAGCAGCCGCGGUAAUACGUAGGGGGCAAGCGUUAUCCGGAUUUACUGGGUGUAAAGGGAGCGUAGACGGCGAUGCAAGUCUGAUGUGAAAUGCGGGGGCUCAACCCCUGAACUGCAUUGGAAACUGUAUUGCUGGAGUGCCGGAGGGGUAAGCGGAAUUCCUAGUGUAGCGGUGAAAUGCGUAGAUAUUAGGAGGAACACCAGUGGCGAAGGCGGCUUACUGGACGGUAACUGACGUUGAGGCUCGAAAGCGUGGGGAGCAAACAGGAUUAGAUACCCUGGUA
Molecule: ribosomal RNA, 434 nt
Filed under: uncultured Lachnospiraceae bacterium
Lineage: Bacteria; Bacillati; Bacillota; Clostridia; Lachnospirales; Lachnospiraceae
Description: bacterial SSU rRNA
Rfam family: Bacterial small subunit ribosomal RNA
Source: RNAcentral